GGGACGAAGCGCAAGUGACGGUACCUGCAGAAGAAGCACCGGCUAACUACGUGCCAGCAGCCGCGGUAAUACGUAGGGUGCAAGCGUUGUCCGGAAUUACUGGGCGUAAAGAGUUCGUAGGCGGUUUGUCGCGUCGUUUGUGAAAACCAGCAGCUCAACUGCUGGCUUGCAGGCGAUACGGGCAGACUUGAGUACUGCAGGGGAGACUGGAAUUCCUGGUGUAGCGGUGAAAUGCGCAGAUAUCAGGAGGAACACCGGUGGCGAAGGCGGGUCUCUGGGCAGUAACUGACGCUGAGGAACGAAAGCGUGGGUAGCGAACAGGAUUAGAUACCCUG
RNAcentral lists this ribosomal RNA (335 nucleotides) under Rhodococcus erythropolis. Its description in RNAcentral is "bacterial SSU rRNA". It matches the Rfam family "Bacterial small subunit ribosomal RNA", at positions 442 to 789 of the family's 1533-position model. The record is from RNAcentral. Lineage: Bacteria; Bacillati; Actinomycetota; Actinomycetes; Mycobacteriales; Nocardiaceae.